This 482-nucleotide ribosomal RNA is filed under the name uncultured bacterium. RNAcentral's name for it is "partial 16S ribosomal RNA". It matches the Rfam family "Bacterial small subunit ribosomal RNA", at positions 28 to 507 of the family's 1533-position model. The record is from RNAcentral.
GACGAACGCUGGCGGCGUGCUUAACACAUGCAAGUCGAACGAUGAAGAAGAGAAACGCGAACUUCGGUUCAACUUUCACUUCGGAUUAGUGGCAGACGGGUGAGUAACGCGUGAGCAACCUACCUCUUACAAAGGGAUAGCCUCGGGAAACCGUGAUUAAUACCAUAUGACACAUUCAUAAGGCAUCUUAAGAAUGUUAAAGCUACGGCGGUAAGAGAUGGGCUCGCGUCCCAUUAGCUAGUUGGUGAGGUAACGGCCCACCAAGGCGACGAUGGGUAACCGGCCUGAGAGGGUGAACGGUCACAUUGGAACUGAGACACGGUCCAAACUCCUACGGGAGGCAGCAGUGGGGAAUAUUGCACAAUGGAGGGAACUCUGAUGCAGCGACGCCGCGUGAGCGAUGAAGGAAUUCGUUUCGUAAAGCUCUGUUCUAUGGGAAGAAAAGGACUGUACCAUAGGAGAAAGCCCCGGCUAAAUACGUG